Long non-coding RNA from Pseudophryne corroboree (corroboree frog), 192 nucleotides. RefSeq lists it as uncharacterized. The record is from RefSeq and is a predicted model, not a curated record. The transcript is spliced from 3 exons. Lineage: Eukaryota; Metazoa; Chordata; Amphibia; Anura; Myobatrachidae.
GCAAGAAUCGAUGUGGACAAAAGCUAAACAAGUCUUACAGCUGUCAGUGCAACAGUCACUGUGAAAGAUUUGGGGACUGCUGCAAGGAUUACUCCAUUUGCAACUAUAUUGAUCGUGAAUUAAAUAAGGUGACUGAACAUGACAAACCAGAUAUUGAUCGUGAAUUAAAUAAGGUGACUGAACAUGACAAAC